Molecule: non-coding RNA, 285 nt
Organism: Electrophorus electricus (electric eel)
Lineage: Eukaryota; Metazoa; Chordata; Actinopteri; Gymnotiformes; Gymnotidae
Source: RefSeq, a predicted model, not a curated record
UGGAGAUAAGAGCCAGGGGAGGAGGAGACGGCUCCACCAUGUCCCCUCGCUUGGCCUCAUUGACCGGCCCAUGGCACCGGCCAGGUCUGGACCAAUCAGCAAAGUUCACCAGGGGCAUCCCUAAACCCCUCCACCCAUUUGUGAAGCUGAGGCUUGCCACUCGUAACACCAUCACCUACGACUCACCGGUCAUGUCUGACCUGGGUGCGGAUCGGAGAUAGCAUUCGUGUCUGCUAGGCCAAGGGGUAUCUGAUGGCCAUGUGACCUACGUGGAGGAGAUUGGCG